GUGUGUAUAUAUAUAUAUAUCCCAUCUUUUUUUUUUUUUUUUUUUUUUUUUUUUUUUUUUUUUUUGAGAUGGAGUCUCACUCGGUCGCCCAGGCUGGAGUGCAGUGGUGUGAUCUCGGUUCACUGCAAGCUCUGCCCUCCGGGUUCACGGCAUUCCCCUGCCUCAGCCUCCUGAGUAGCUGGGACUACAGGCACCCGCCACGACGCCCAGCUAAUUAAAAUAUAUAUCCCAUCUUAAAAAAUAAAUGGCAUUAAACAAACAUUAAAAAAAUGAUAGAAGGGGAACACACAAUCACACACAGCAUCACUGACUAUUGCCAGUCACUAUGUACCUAUUAUUCUGGGUAUUGUUUAAUUGGAAACAUCACCAUUUUAGAAUCUAAGAUUAAGGGGAAUCUACCUAGAACAGACAACAGAAAGCAUUCCAACUAUGAAAUAUGAUAAAUGGCCUAUGUUUAAAAGAUGCUGGAGAGUAUCCAAGAAAGACUGCUAGCUUAGAAAUUUAUAAAGGAGAUGAAAUGAAGAAUGUGAUAUUAUCUGUGCUUAUGUAUCUGUUAGAAUUCAAUGAUACCUAUUUCUUGUUGAAAAGUGGACUGCCCUCCAUUCUGAGUGUAGUACGAAUUAAAAAGACUUCUUUUUUUAAAGAGUUAAGUUGAAGAAGGGCUGAGCUGGCUUCCAAGGCACUAAUUAAGGAAUCCAAGCCUGUACUAUAUAGGAUUCUUUAGGGAUCUGCAGAUAUUUCCAUUCUAAUUUUCCAGAGACAAAAAUGUAACCGGGAGAAAAUUAGAAAAAGAAAGUGACCUGUGGCAUUUGACUACUACUUUGCAAACUGGCUUAUUAUUAACAGUUUUCAACAUUUAAUUGAUCCCCCACUUAAAAAUUCUCACCUUAUUGAGUUCAAUGGCUGAUCGUCUAUGAUCAUAAGGCCAUCCCCAACAUAUACACAUUAUUUGAGUCACUGUGAGAUAAUGUAAUAAAAGCAUCUGAAGCACUAGUUUCAUUUAAACAGAGACAUGCCCUCAACAUCAAGAAUAGAAAGUCUUGCGCUUGAGUUUUUCUUUAGAGAUGCAGAAUUAGCUCAAGGAAUGGAUGGAAAUGACAUUUUUUGGUAACUGAUUUUAAGGUCUCGAAUACUUUUAUGGAAAUAAGUAUCCUGCGCAUUUUAUAUGCCCUUGAUCUUGUGAGUUUUUCUAGAGGCAUAAUAUUAAUUUCAGUUAACUUGUUAAAAUUAUUCUUUCAGAAUUUCUAAGUGUCUCAAAAGUUAAAUGAAUUGGGGAAAAAUGUUUCUUAUUCUAAAAAAGAGGUAUGCAUGUAUAUAUAUAAAAGGAAGGAAAAAGGAGAAAAAUCCUCUUUUUGAUAUUUGCAGGAAAUAUCUGAGGUUUAGCUUGGGAGGCGAUGGGGCAAUCCAGGGCGAGAAAUGAUGUCUUGAAUAAUUAAGGUGACUACUCCUGACCUUCAACUAAACAGACUACCUUCCUGUCUACCCUGAAGGUAUCACUUUGGUGUUGCUAUCCACUGAUUCACUUCUGCAAACUUCCCUGACAGAAGAAAGGAGGACUUGCAGCUGGACACUGCUCCCUGGCUCUUCGGAGCGGUUUCUUUACACUAUGCAUGGACCACAGAUCAUCUGCUGCCAUCCUACUCAGGGAGAGCUUGCUAAAGAUGCAUGGUCCUGGCCCCCACCCAAAACCUCUGACUUUGAAUCCAUGUCAGAAAUCGUUUAAUUUAUGUACUUACUUGUUUAUCUGUUUUGUUCACUGCUAUAUCUUUGGCUCCUAGAAAAGUACUAGGAACAUGGUAGAUACUCAAUAAAUAUGUACUGAAUAAAUGAAAAAAAAAAAAACCAACAAAAGAAAGGGAAGGAAAAGGGAUUGCCUUCAUGUUUCUCCCACCUCCUCAAGUUGUUUUUUUUUUUUUUUUGAGACGGAGUCUCGCUCUGUCUCCC
Molecule: long non-coding RNA, 1944 nt
Filed under: Homo sapiens (human)
Lineage: Eukaryota; Metazoa; Chordata; Mammalia; Primates; Hominidae
Description: non-protein coding lnc-KCNRG-5:2
Source: RNAcentral